UACGUAGGGACCGAGCGUUGUCCGGAAUCAUUGGGCGUAAAGAGCGUGUAGGCGGCUAUUUAAGUCCUGCGUGAAAUCCUGCGGCUCAACCGCAGACGGUCGUGGGAAACUGGAUGGCUAGAGUGCGGGAGAGGAGAGUGGAAUUCCCGAUGUAGCGGUGAAAUGCGCAGAUAUCGGGAAGAACACCCGUGGCGAAGGCGGCUCUCUGGAACGCAACUGACGCUGAGACGCGAAAGCGUGGGGAGCAAACAGG
RNAcentral lists this ribosomal RNA (253 nucleotides) under uncultured bacterium. RNAcentral's name for it is "partial 16S ribosomal RNA". It matches the Rfam family "Bacterial small subunit ribosomal RNA", at positions 524 to 776 of the family's 1533-position model. The record is from RNAcentral.